This 570-nucleotide ribosomal RNA is filed under the name Enterococcus faecalis. Its description in RNAcentral is "bacterial SSU rRNA". It matches the Rfam family "Bacterial small subunit ribosomal RNA", at positions 1 to 542 of the family's 1533-position model. Lineage: Bacteria; Bacillati; Bacillota; Bacilli; Lactobacillales; Enterococcaceae. The record is from RNAcentral.
UAUUAUGAGAGUUUGAUCCUGGCUCAGGACGAACGCUGGCGGCGUGCCUAAUACAUGCAAGUCGAACGCUUCUUUCCUCCCGAGUGCUUGCACUCAAUUGGAAAGAGGAGUGGCGGACGGGUGAGUAACACGUGGGUAACCUACCCAUCAGAGGGGGAUAACACUUGGAAACAGGUGCUAAUACCGCAUAACAGUUUAUGCCGCAUGGCAUAAGAGUGAAAGGCGCUUUCGGGUGUCGCUGAUGGAUGGACCCGCGGUGCAUUAGCUAGUUGGUGAGGUAACGGCUCACCAAGGCCACGAUGCAUAGCCGACCUGAGAGGGUGAUCGGCCACACUGGGACUGAGACACGGCCCAGACUCCUACGGGAGGCAGCAGUAGGGAAUCUUCGGCAAUGGACGAAAGUCUGACCGAGCAACGCCGCGUGAGUGAAGAAGGUUUUCGGAUCGUAAAACUCUGUUGUUAGAGAAGAACAAGGACGUUAGUAACUGAACGUCCCCUGACGGUAUCUAACCAGAAAGCCACGGCUAACUACGUGCCAGCAGCCGCGGUAAUACGUAGGUGGCAAGCGUU